UUUCAAAUGAUGAAUGUAAUUACCGUAUGAUUUUCGUGAUAACAACAAUUAUGGCUGCAAUUAUUGCAACUGAUUUU
RNAcentral lists this small nucleolar RNA (77 nucleotides) under Drosophila willistoni. RNAcentral's name for it is "snoRNA:GK26690". Lineage: Eukaryota; Metazoa; Arthropoda; Insecta; Diptera; Drosophilidae. The record is from RNAcentral.